GCCUGGGUAGCUCAGUUGGUUGAGCAUUGGACUUCAACCCAGGUCAUGAUUCCACAGUUUGUGGGUUUGAGCCCUGCAUCAGGCU
This 85-nucleotide transfer RNA is filed under the name Felis catus (domestic cat). It matches the Rfam family "tRNA". Rfam says of the family: Transfer RNA (tRNA) molecules are approximately 80 nucleotides in length. Their secondary structure includes four short double-helical elements and three loops (D, anti-codon, and T loops). Further hydrogen bonds mediate the characteristic L-shaped molecular structure. tRNAs have two regions of fundamental functional importance: the anti-codon, which is responsible for specific mRNA codon recognition, and the 3' end, to which the tRNAs corresponding amino acid is attached (by aminoacyl-tRNA synthetases). tRNAs cope with the degeneracy of the genetic code in two manners: having more than one tRNA (with a specific anti-codon) for a particular amino acid; and 'wobble' base-pairing, i.e. permitting non-standard base-pairing at the 3rd anti-codon position. The record is from Rfam by way of RNAcentral. RNAcentral also lists the same sequence under 4 other names. Lineage: Eukaryota; Metazoa; Chordata; Mammalia; Carnivora; Felidae.